CCUACGGGAGGCAGCAGUGGGGAAUAUUGCGCAAUGGGCGAAAGCCUGACGCAGCGACGCCGCGUGAGGGAUGAAGGUCUUCGGAUCGUAAACCUCUGUCAGCAGGGAAGAACGGUCACUGUGCUAAUCAGCAGUGAAUUGACGGUACCUGCAAAGGAAGCACCGGCUAACUCCGUGCCAGCAGCCGCGGUAAUACGGAGGGUGCGAGCGUUAAUCGGAAUUACUGGGCGUAAAGCGCUCGUAGGCGGUAUGUCAAGUCAAGGGUGAAAUCCCCGCGCUCAACGUGGGAACUGCCUUUGAAUCUGGCAAACUGGAGUGUGUGAGAGGAUAGUGGAAUUCCAGGUGUAGGAGUGAAAUGCGUAGAGAUCUGGAGGAACAUCAGUGGCGAAGGCGACUAUCUGGCACAUAACUGACGCUGAGGAGCGAAAGCGUGGGUAGCAAACAGGAUUAGAUACCCGAGUAGUC
RNAcentral lists this ribosomal RNA (465 nucleotides) under uncultured bacterium. RNAcentral's name for it is "partial 16S ribosomal RNA". It matches the Rfam family "Bacterial small subunit ribosomal RNA", at positions 338 to 795 of the family's 1533-position model. The record is from RNAcentral.